CUCGUAAUUGAUACAGAGGAGGAGCUCAUUCCCAUUGAUUCGGGGGAAGAGGAGCCAGAUUAUAUAAUUAUUGACAGUGAGGAUGAAAAACCCUCUCCCCAACUUGGCCCUACACUGUCACAGGCGGUGGCGGAGGAGGAGGAGGAGGACCAGGACUCUCUGUCCCUCACCACACUGCACCCAUUAAGCCCUACACUGGAACAGGCCACGGAGGAGGAGGAGGAUGAUGAUGAUGCUGCUGCAUUUAGUGACGACGAGCCAGAAUACAUUUUUGUCCGUCGCCAACCAGUGGAGGAGACACCUGUGCCAAUUAUUUAUGGGGGCCCUAGACAGGGGCAAGAUAGGUGGGCUGGCCCAGAAGCGGGCAGGCAGCAGCCCACUUAUACAAGAGAACAGUUGCAGCGUGCCAUCCAGCUCCAGCGGGUGGUGGUCCACCUCCUAGUGGACCACUAUUUUAAUAUUUUAUUA
Pseudophryne corroboree (corroboree frog) is the source of this 468-nucleotide long non-coding RNA. RefSeq lists it as uncharacterized. The record is from RefSeq and is a predicted model, not a curated record. The transcript has 8 exons. NCBI's taxonomy places the organism in Eukaryota, Metazoa, Chordata, Amphibia, Anura, Myobatrachidae.